This is a non-coding RNA of Ixodes scapularis (black-legged tick), 73 nucleotides long. NCBI's taxonomy places the organism in Eukaryota, Metazoa, Arthropoda, Arachnida, Ixodida, Ixodidae. The record is from Rfam.
UCCUGGUUAGCUCGGUUGGCAGAGCGCUGCACUGGAAAUGGAGAGGUCCCUGGUUCAUUACCAGAACCAGGCG